This 768-nucleotide ribosomal RNA is filed under the name uncultured bacterium. RNAcentral's name for it is "bacterial SSU rRNA". It matches the Rfam family "Bacterial small subunit ribosomal RNA", at positions 1 to 811 of the family's 1533-position model. The record is from RNAcentral.
UUCGCCCUUAGAGUUUGAUCCUGGCUCAGAGCGAACGCUGGCGGCAGGCUUAACACAUGCAAGUCGAGCGGGCGUAGCAAUACGUCAGCGGCAGACGGGUGAGUAACGCGUGGGAACGUACCUUUUGGUUCGGAACAACACAGGGAAACUUGUGCUAAUACCGGAUAAGCCCUUACGGGGAAAGAUUUAUCGCCGAAAGAUCGGCCCGCGUCUGAUUAGCUAGUUGGUGAGGUAACGGCUCACCAAGGCGACGAUCAGUAGCUGGUCUGAGAGGAUGAUCAGCCACAUUGGGACUGAGACACGGCCCAAACUCCUACGGGAGGCAGCAGUGGGGAAUAUUGGACAAUGGGGGCAACCCUGAUCCAGCCAUGCCGCGUGAGUGAUGAAGGCCCUAGGGUUGUAAAGCUCUUUUGUGCGGGAAGAUAAUGACGGUACCGCAAGAAUAAGCCCCGGCUAACUUCGUGCCAGCAGCCGCGGUAAUACGAAGGGGGCUAGCGUUGCUCGGAAUCACUGGGCGUAAAGGGUGCGUAGGCGGAUCUUUAAGUCAGAGGUGAAAGCCUGGAGCUCAACUCCAGAACUGCCUUUGAUACUGGGGAUCUUGAGUUCGGGAGAGGUGAGUGGAACUGCGAGUGUAGAGGUGAAAUUCGUAGAUAUUCGCAAGAACACCAGUGGCGAAGGCGGCUCACUGGCCCGAUACUGACGCUGAGGCACGAAAGCGUGGGGAGCAAACAGGAUUAGAUACCCUGGUAGUCCACGCCGUAAACGAUG